ACAGUUAUGUCUGCAAUACUGUAUUUUUGAAAUAGGCUAAUAUGUAAAUGCUACAGGACAACAUGUAAUGACACUUAUUAUUUUAUUUUAUGUAUUUAUUUAAAAAGUCAGCUGUGGCACUAGUUUGGAAAUAAAAGCUUUGGCACUUUACAAUAACUGCAAUAAAUGCAGCCUAUUAAAUGAAUUAUAAACAUUCAUGUAGAUUCUGAUAAUGUACAUAUCUUUGUCAAAAAUGUUUGAUAAGAAACACAUUUAGACAACAUGUGUGCGUAGCGCAGUACGUGUGAUGUCACGACGUCAUCAGCAAAUUUGCGCCCGGUGCACAUGCGCAUUGCGAGUUUGCGCAGACAGGUGUCUACGGUCGGAGUGGAAUGAAGAAGUUGCAUCUGAUAAUUCUUCCAUUGUGUAGCAGCAACUGCAGCUGACAUGGAAUGAGGAUUAUCGGAUUCACCUCUCACUGAUCAUCCAAGGUGAAUUGAUGACCUCAAGCAAAUGGAUGUUGUCAUCUGAAGAGAAAGUUAUCCUGGGCCCAUGUUUAGAGGCAUUUGGGGCAUAUCUGACACAUCACAAUCAAGCUGCAUGCACACUUGAGUUUAUUCAGAGAGAAGUUGUGGGCAUCAGUCCGGAAACUGGAUAAAAAAUUUGCUGCUGGAAUGUGAGACAAAUAAAGGCAUGGAAUGAACCCAAAUGUAUGAACACUGCUACGAAAACUAAUGGACUUUGAAUGGCUUGCCAGUUAAUUCCAAUGGAAUUGAAGAAGAGACUCUGACAAGAUUUUCAAGUUUGUGUUUAAUUUAAA
This is a long non-coding RNA of Paramisgurnus dabryanus, 799 nucleotides long. RefSeq lists it as uncharacterized. NCBI's taxonomy places the organism in Eukaryota, Metazoa, Chordata, Actinopteri, Cypriniformes, Cobitidae. The record is from RefSeq and is a predicted model, not a curated record.